GACGUAGGAGACAAACGUUAUCCGGAGUUACGGGGCGUAAAGGGCGUGCAGGUGGUCUGUUAAGUUUGGCGUGAAAUCUCUCGGCUUAACUGGGAGGGCGCGUUGAAGACUGGCGGGCUUGAGGCAGCGAGAGGGGUGUGGAAUUCCCGGUGUAGUGGUGGAAUGCGUAGAGAUCGGGAGGAACACCAGAGGCGCAAGCGACACCCUGGCGCUGGUCUGACGCUCAGGUGCGAAAGCGUGGGGAGCGAACGGG
This 253-nucleotide ribosomal RNA is filed under the name uncultured Caldilinea sp. Its description in RNAcentral is "partial 16S ribosomal RNA". It matches the Rfam family "Bacterial small subunit ribosomal RNA", at positions 524 to 776 of the family's 1533-position model. The record is from RNAcentral. Lineage: Bacteria; Bacillati; Chloroflexota; Caldilineae; Caldilineales; Caldilineaceae.